AUACAUGCAGUUGAACGAGAUUAGUUUUAGCAAUAGAACUUUUUUAGUGGCGCACGGGUGCGUAACGCGUAUGCAACCUACCUUAAACAGGGGAAUAGCCUCUCGAAAGAGAGAUUAAUACCGCAUAAUAUAUAUUUAGAGCAUUCUAGAUAUAUUAAACCUACGGGGGUUUAAGAUGGGCAUGCGUGACAUUAGCUAGUUGGUGAGGUAAUGGCUCACCAAGGCAACGAUGUCUAGGGGGUCUGAGAGGAUGUCCCCCCACACUGGUACUGAGACACGGACCAGACUCCUACGGGAGGCAGCAGUAGGGAAUAUUGGUCAAUGGAGGCAACUCUGAACCAGCCAUGCCGCGUGCAGGACUAAGGCCCUAUGGGUCGUAAACUGCUUUUGAACGGGAAGAAAUGUAUCUACGUGUAGAUAUUUGACGGUACCGUUAGAAUAAGGAUCGGCUAACUUCGUGCCAGCAGCCGCGGUAAUACGAAGGAUCCAAGCGUUGUCCGGAUUUACUGGGUUUAAAGGGUGCGUAGGCGGACUUAUAAGUCAGUGGUGAAAGCCUUCAGCUUAACUGAAGAACUGCCAUUGAAACUGUAAGUCUCGAGUUCGGUUGAGGUCAUUGGAAUGUAACAUGUAGCGGUGAAAUGCAUAGAUAUGUUACAGAACACCAAUUGCGAAGGCAGAUGACUAAACCGAAACUGACGCUGAGCACGAAAGCGUGGGGAUCAAACAGGAUUAGAUACCCUGGUAGUCCACGCCCUAAACGUUGAAUACUCGACCUUAGCGAUAUACAGUAGGGUCNAGCGAAAGCGU
Molecule: ribosomal RNA, 807 nt
Filed under: uncultured bacterium
Lineage: Bacteria
Description: bacterial SSU rRNA
Rfam family: Bacterial small subunit ribosomal RNA
Source: RNAcentral